CAAAGGAGGCUCAGUAAAUAGUUGCCAAUUAAAUAACUGUAGGCACUACAAGGAAAGAGGCCCUAAAGUCAGAGAACCAGACACAGGAGGAAGAAGAAACUUCAGAGAGGUGAAGCAUGGGCCAGUGCUUGAGAAAAGCAUUAACUGAUGCCAGGCAGAAGCGAGUAUAAAGUCACCAAGAUGAGAGAUCUUCAAGGUCACACAGCCCCUGAGGAA
RNAcentral lists this long non-coding RNA (216 nucleotides) under Homo sapiens (human). RNAcentral describes it as "HSALNT0215411". Lineage: Eukaryota; Metazoa; Chordata; Mammalia; Primates; Hominidae. The record is from RNAcentral.